GCGCCCGUAGCUCAGUUGGAUAGAGUAUUUGACUACGAAUCAAAGGGUCACAAGUUCGAAUCUUGUCGGGCGCACCA
RNAcentral lists this transfer RNA (77 nucleotides) under Bacillota bacterium. Its description in RNAcentral is "tRNA-Arg". It matches the Rfam family "tRNA". From Rfam's summary of the family: Transfer RNA (tRNA) molecules are approximately 80 nucleotides in length. Their secondary structure includes four short double-helical elements and three loops (D, anti-codon, and T loops). Lineage: Bacteria; Bacillati; Bacillota. The record is from RNAcentral.